GACGAACGCUGGCGGCGUGCCUAAUACAUGCAAGUAGAACGCUGAAGCUUGGUGCUUGCACCGAGCGGAUGAGUUGCGAACGGGUGAGUAACGCGUAGGUAACCUGCCUGGUAGCGGGGGAUAACUAUUGGAAACGAUAGCUAAUACCGCAUAAUAGUAGAUGUUGCAUGACAUUUGCUUAAAAGGUGCAAUUGCAUCACUACCAGAUGGACCUGCGUUGUAUUAGCUAGUUGGUGAGGUAACGGCUCACCAAGGCAACGAUACAUAGCCGACCUGAGAGGGUGAUCGGCCACACUGGGACUGAGACACGGCCCAGACUCCUACGGGAGGCAGCAGUAGGGAAUCUUCGGCAAUAGACGGAAGUCUGACCGAGCAACGCCGCGUGAGUGAAGAAGGGUUUCGGAUCGUAAAGCUCUGUUGUAAGAGAAGAACGAGUGUGAGAGUGGAAAGUUCACACUGUGACGGUAUCUUACCAGAAAGGGACGGCUAACUACGUG
Molecule: ribosomal RNA, 497 nt
Filed under: uncultured bacterium
Lineage: Bacteria
Description: partial 16S ribosomal RNA
Rfam family: Bacterial small subunit ribosomal RNA
Source: RNAcentral